GACAGAGGGUGCUAGCGUUGUUCGGAAUGACUGGGCGUAAAGGGCGCGUAGGUUGUUGUAUCAGUCAGGCGUGAAAGCCCCGGGCUUAACCUGGGAAUUGCGUUUGAGACGGUAUGACUAGAGUGCGAUAGAGGAAAGUGGAAUUCCUAGUGUAGAGGUGAAAUUCGUAGAUAUUAGGAGGAACAUCAGAGGCGGAGGCGGCUUUCUGGAUCGCAACUGACGCUGAGGCGCGAAAGCGUGGGGAUCAAACAGG
This 253-nucleotide ribosomal RNA is filed under the name uncultured bacterium. Its description in RNAcentral is "partial 16S ribosomal RNA". It matches the Rfam family "Bacterial small subunit ribosomal RNA", at positions 524 to 776 of the family's 1533-position model. The record is from RNAcentral.